RNAcentral lists this transfer RNA (67 nucleotides) under Marmota monax (woodchuck). RNAcentral describes it as "tRNA.Val". It matches the Rfam family "tRNA", at positions 6 to 65 of the family's 71-position model. Rfam says of the family: Transfer RNA (tRNA) molecules are approximately 80 nucleotides in length. Their secondary structure includes four short double-helical elements and three loops (D, anti-codon, and T loops). Further hydrogen bonds mediate the characteristic L-shaped molecular structure. tRNAs have two regions of fundamental functional importance: the anti-codon, which is responsible for specific mRNA codon recognition, and the 3' end, to which the tRNAs corresponding amino acid is attached (by aminoacyl-tRNA synthetases). tRNAs cope with the degeneracy of the genetic code in two manners: having more than one tRNA (with a specific anti-codon) for a particular amino acid; and 'wobble' base-pairing, i.e. permitting non-standard base-pairing at the 3rd anti-codon position. The record is from RNAcentral. Lineage: Eukaryota; Metazoa; Chordata; Mammalia; Rodentia; Sciuridae.
GGAUAUAGCUCAGUGGUAGAGUGCUUGCCUAACAUGCAUGAGGCCCUGGGUUCAAUUCUCAGUACCA